Molecule: ribosomal RNA, 1426 nt
Filed under: uncultured Cylindrospermopsis sp.
Lineage: Bacteria; Bacillati; Cyanobacteriota; Cyanophyceae; Nostocales; Aphanizomenonaceae
Description: bacterial SSU rRNA
Rfam family: Bacterial small subunit ribosomal RNA
Source: RNAcentral
CGAACGGGAUGCUUAGGCAUCUAGUGGCGGACGGGUGAGUAACGCGUGAGAAUCUGGCUCCAGGUCGGGGAUAACAGUUGGAAACGACUGCUAAUACCGGAUGUGCCGAGAGGUGAAAGAUUUAUUGCCUGGAGAUGAGCUCGCGUCUGAUUAGCUAGUUGGUGGUGUAAGGGACCACCAAGGCCUCGAUCAGUAGCUGGUCUGAGAGGAUGAUCAGCCACACUGGGACUGAGACACGGCCCAGACUCCUACGGGAGGCAGCAGUGGGGAAUUUUCCGCAAUGGGCGAAAGCCUGACGGAGCAAUACCGCGUGAGGGAGGAAGGCUCUUGGGUCGUAAACCUCUUUUCUCAAGGAAGAAGAAAGUGACGGUACUUGAGGAAUAAGCAUCGGCUAACUCCGUGCCAGCAGCCGCGGUAAUACGGAGGAUGCAAGCGUUAUCCGGAAUGAUUGGGCGUAAAGGGUCUGCAGGUGGAACUGAAAGUCUGCUGUUAAAGAGUUUGGCUUAACCAAAUAAAAGCGGUGGAAACUACAGAACUAGAGUGCGGUAGGGGCAAAAGGAAUUCCUGGUGUAGCGGUGAAAUGCGUAGAUAUCAGGAAGAACACCGGUGGCGAAAGCGUUUUGCUAGACCGUAACUGACACUGAGGGACGAAAGCUAGGGGAGCGAAUGGGAUUAGAUACCCCAGUAGUCCUAGCCGUAAACGAUGGAUACUAGGCGUGGCUUGUAUCGACCCGAGCCGUGCCGGAGCUAACGCGUUAAGUAUCCCGCCUGGGGAGUACGCACGCAAGUGUGAAACUCAAAGGAAUUGACGGGGGCCCGCACAAGCGGUGGAGUAUGUGGUUUAAUUCGAUGCAACGCGAAGAACCUUACCAAGACUUGACAUCCUGCGAAUCCUGGUGAAAGCUGGGAGUGCCUUAGGGAGCGCAGAGACAGGUGGUGCAUGGCUGUCGUCAGCUCGUGUCGUGAGAUGUUGGGUUAAGUCCCGCAACGAGCGCAACCCUCGUUUUUAGUUGCCAGCAUUAAGUUGGGCACUCUAGAGAGACUGCCGGUGACAAACCGGAGGAAGGUGAGGAUGACGUCAAGUCAGCAUGCCCCUUACGUCUUGGGCUACACACGUACUACAAUGCUACGGACAGAGGGCAGCAAGCCAGGGAUGGCAAGCGAAUCCAGAAACCGUAGCUCAGUUCAGAUCGAAGGCUGCAACUCGCCUUCGUAAAGGAGGAAUCGCUAGUAAUUGCAGGUCAGCAUACUGCAGUGAAUUCGUUCCCGGGCCUUGUACACACCGCCCGUCACACCAUGGAAGUUGGUCACGCCCGAAGUCAUUACCCCAACCGAAAGGAGGGGGAUGCCUAAGGUAGGACUGGUGACUGGGGUGAAGUCGUAACAAGGUAGCCGUACCGGAAGGUGUGGCUGGAUCACCUCCUUU